GAUGAACGCUGGCGGCGUGCCUAAUACAUGCAAGUCGAGCGAAUGGAUUAAGAGCUUGCUCUUAUGAAGUUAGCGGCGGACGGGUGAGUAACACGUGGGUAACCUGCCCAUAAGACUGGGAUAACUCCGGGAAACCGGGGCUAAUACCGGAUAACAUUUUGAACCGCAUGGUUCGAAAUUGAAAGGCGGCUUCGGCUGUCACUUAUGGAUGGACCCGCGUCGCAUUAGCUAGUUGGUGAGGUAACGGCUCACCAAGGCAACGAUGCGUAGCCGACCUGAGAGGGGGAUCGGCCACACUGGGACUGAGACACGGCCCAGACUCCUACGGGAGGCAGCAGUAGGGAAUCUUCCGCAAUGGACGAAAGUCUGACGGAGCAACGCCGCGUGAGUGAUGAAGGCUUUCGGGUCGUAAAACUCUGUUGUUAGGGAAGAACAAGUGCUAGUUGAAUAAGCUGGCACCUUGACGGUACCUAACCAGAAAGCCACGGCUAACUACGUGCCAGCAGCCGCCGUAAA
RNAcentral lists this ribosomal RNA (516 nucleotides) under uncultured bacterium. RNAcentral's name for it is "partial 16S ribosomal RNA". It matches the Rfam family "Bacterial small subunit ribosomal RNA", at positions 28 to 524 of the family's 1533-position model. The record is from RNAcentral.